AUGCAAUGCAUUGGACCAUCGUUUGAUGGUUUUGCCCAUUUACCUGCGUUGGAGACUAGGGGUGGAAUCCUCCUGGGUUGGAGUAGUGCAUGUCUAACUAUAAACAACAUCAUUUGCGACACCAAUUUCCUCUUCGGCUUGGUGCAUAGUAGAGAUGGCUCGGAGUGGUGGCUCUCGGUGGUGUAUGGCCUCCAAGGGGAUGAGCUUAAGACGCAAUUUCUUGUCGAUCUCUAGCACCGUAGGGACAUGUCCCCGGGGCCUUGGAUGGUGCUUGGUGACUUUAACAUGAUCCUUCGCGCCAAUGAGAAGAACAACCCUAACCUCAACAGGAGCAUGAUGAGGAAGUUCAAGACGUUUGUGGACAACAAUGAGCUUAAGGAGCUAUACAUGCACGGUAGGCGUUUCACUUGGUCUAAUGAAAGGGAUCAGGCUGCGUUAAUAAAGAUCGACCGGGUCCUUGUCUCGGUUGACUGGGAGCUCAACUUUCCUAAUGUGUUGCUCCAAGCCCUAUCUUCUAACAUCUCGGAUCUUCCGGUUUGA
Molecule: ribosomal RNA, 540 nt
Filed under: Triticum aestivum (bread wheat)
Lineage: Eukaryota; Viridiplantae; Streptophyta; Magnoliopsida; Poales; Poaceae
Description: partial small subunit ribosomal RNA
Source: RNAcentral